This 251-nucleotide ribosomal RNA is filed under the name uncultured prokaryote. RNAcentral's name for it is "partial 16S ribosomal RNA". It matches the Rfam family "Bacterial small subunit ribosomal RNA", at positions 524 to 774 of the family's 1533-position model. The record is from RNAcentral.
UACGAAGGGGGCUAGCGUUGUUCGGAAUUACUGGGCGUAAAGCGCACGUAGGCGGACUAUUAAGUCAGGGGUGAAAUCCCGGGGCUCAACCCCGGAACUGCCUUUGAUACUGGUAGUCUCGAGUCCGGAAGAGGUGAGUGGAAUUCCGAGUGUAGAGGUGAAAUUCGUAGAUAUUCGGAGGAACACCAGUGGCGAAGGCGGCUCACUGGUCCGGUACUGACGCUGAGGUGCGAAAGCGUGGGGAGCAAACA